GAUGAACGCUGGCGGCGUGCCUAAUACAUGCAAGUCGAGCGAACAGACGAGGAGCUUGCUCCUCUGACGUUAGCGGCGGACGGGUGAGUAACACGUGGAUAACCUACCUAUAAUACUGGGAUAACUUCGGGAAACCGGAGCUAAUACCGGAUAAUAUAUUGAACCGCAUGGUUCAAUAGUGAAAGACGGUUUUGCUGUCACUUAUAGAUGGAUCCGCGCCGGAUUAGCUAGUUGGUAAGGUAACGGCUUACCAAGGCAACGAUGCGUAGCCGACCUGAGAGGGUGAUCGGCCACACUGGAACUGAGACACGGUCCAGACUCCUACGGGAGGCAGCAGUAGGGAAUCUUCCGCAAUGGGCGAAAGCCUGACGGAGCAACGCCGCGUGAGUGAUGAAGGUCUUCGGAUCGUAAAACUCUGUUAUUAGGGAAGAACAAAUGUGUAAGUAACUAUGCACGUCUUGACGGUACCUAAUCAGAAAGCAACGGCUAACUACGUG
RNAcentral lists this ribosomal RNA (497 nucleotides) under uncultured bacterium. Its description in RNAcentral is "partial 16S ribosomal RNA". It matches the Rfam family "Bacterial small subunit ribosomal RNA", at positions 28 to 507 of the family's 1533-position model. The record is from RNAcentral.